Molecule: ribosomal RNA, 315 nt
Filed under: uncultured Spongiobacter sp.
Lineage: Bacteria; Pseudomonadati; Pseudomonadota; Gammaproteobacteria
Description: bacterial SSU rRNA
Rfam family: Bacterial small subunit ribosomal RNA
Source: RNAcentral
UUGCUGUCGUCAGCUCGUGUCUUGAGAUGUUGGGUUGAGUCCGCACGAGCGCACCCUUGUCCUCAGUUACCAGCACUUUAUGGUGGGCACUCUGGGAAGACUGCCGGUGACAAACCGGAGGAAGGUGGGGACGACGUCAAGUCAUCAUGGCCCUUACGGCCAGGGCUACACACGUGCUACAAUGGUGCAUACCGACGGUUGCCAAGCUGUGAAGGGGAGGCAAUUCGAGAAAGUGCAUCGUAGUCCGGAUUGGAGUCUGCAACUCGACUCCAGAAGUCGGAAUCGCUGUAUGUGAAUCAAAAUGUCGCGGUGAAU